UCUGGCAAUAAUGGCGAGAAGGUCACACCCGUUCCCAUACCGAACACGGAAGUUAAGCUUCUCAGCGCCGAUGGUAGUUGGGACACGCGUCCCUGUGAGAGUAGGACGUUGCCAGGC
This is a non-coding RNA of Bacillus sp. OV166, 117 nucleotides long. Lineage: Bacteria; Bacillati; Bacillota; Bacilli; Caryophanales; Bacillaceae. The record is from Rfam.